Molecule: ribosomal RNA, 580 nt
Filed under: uncultured Mycobacteriaceae bacterium
Lineage: Bacteria; Bacillati; Actinomycetota; Actinomycetes; Mycobacteriales; Mycobacteriaceae
Description: partial 16S ribosomal RNA
Rfam family: Bacterial small subunit ribosomal RNA
Source: RNAcentral
ACUCCUACGRGAGGCAGCAGUGGGGAAUAUUGCACAAUGGGCGCAAGCCUGAUGCAGCGACGCCGCGUGGGGGAUGACGGCCUUCGGGUUGUAAACCUCUUUCACCAUCGACGAAGCCUUUGGGUGACGGUAGGUGGAGAAGAAGCACCGGCCAAYUACGUGCCAGCAGCCGCGGUAAUACGUAGGGUGCGAGCGUUGUCCGGAAUUACUGGGCGUAAAGAGCUCGUAGGUGGUCUGUCGCGUUGUUCGUGAAAUSCCACAGCUUAMCUGUGGGCGUGCGGGCGAUACGGGCAGACUGGAGUACUGCAGGGGAGACUGGAAUUCCUGGUGUAGCGGUGGAAUGCGCAGAUAUCAGGAGGAGCACCGGUGGSGAAGGCGGGUCUCUGGGCAGUAACUGACGCUGAGGAGCSAAASCGYGGGGAGCGAACAGGAUUAGAUACCCUGGUAGUCCACGCCGUAAACGGUGGGUACUAGGUGKGGGUUUCCUUCCUUGGGAUCCGUGCCGUAGCUAACGCAUUAAGUACCCCSCYUKGGGRGUACGGCCGCAAGGCUAAAACUCAAAGGAAUUGACGGWKGKUCG